GUAAUCGUAGGUCAGCAUACUACGGUGAAUACGUUCCCGGGCCUUGUACACACCGCCCGUCAAACCAUGAGAGUUGGCAACACCCGAAGUCGGUAGUCUAACCGCAAGGAGGACGCCGCCGAAGGUGGGGUUGAUGAUUAGGGUUAAGUCGUAACAAGGUAUC
Molecule: ribosomal RNA, 163 nt
Filed under: uncultured bacterium
Lineage: Bacteria
Description: partial 16S ribosomal RNA
Rfam family: Bacterial small subunit ribosomal RNA
Source: RNAcentral